RNAcentral lists this long non-coding RNA (378 nucleotides) under Homo sapiens (human). RNAcentral describes it as "HSALNT0326626". The record is from RNAcentral. Lineage: Eukaryota; Metazoa; Chordata; Mammalia; Primates; Hominidae.
GGAAAAGUCGACCAUAAGGGGGUAUGGGUGGGGCAAAUGUGUGAAAACAUGCCUAUCACAGCUGGCAUGGAUGUAUCCAAAUAGCCAGCAGGAAGAAGCUGAGAAUGAAACAGUGGUGAUAAUGGCCUAUGUACAGGAAGAAGAGGUAGAAAAGAAGCAAGAUGAACAGUUUUGAAGACCACUGAUCUGACUUCGGUCCUUAAAAAAAAGAUUUAAAAGAUAUUUAGGAGAUAGAAUCAACAGGAUUUGUAAAAGUGCAGCAUCGUUUAAGUAACUACCCUCAAGGAAGACUACCCUACCCUCAGUUCAGGGAUAAAGCCUAAUGCAUCUCCCACAUCACUCAUGAUAAUUGUGUUGUUCUACUUGCCGAGGAUUAGU